Molecule: ribosomal RNA, 254 nt
Filed under: uncultured bacterium
Lineage: Bacteria
Description: partial 16S ribosomal RNA
Rfam family: Bacterial small subunit ribosomal RNA
Source: RNAcentral
GACGUAGGGUGCAAGCGUUGUCCGGAUUUACUGGGCGUAAAGAGCGCGUAGGCGGUCUGUUAAGUGUGAAGUGAAAUCUCCAGGGCUCAACCCGGAAACUGCUUCGCAUACUGGCAGGCUGGAGGAACGGAGAGGUGAGUGGAAUUCCUGGUGUACCGGUGAAAUGCGUAGAUAUCUGGAGGAACACCGGUGGCGAAGGCGGCGUUCUGGACUGCAUCUGACACUGAGGAACGAAAGCCAGGGGAGCAAACGGG